GGUGCUUAGCUCAGUCUGGCAGAGCAGCAGGCUUAUAUCCUGCGUGUCCUGGGUUCGAAUCCCAGAGUACCCACCA
This 76-nucleotide transfer RNA is filed under the name Siphoviridae sp. ctdVv30. Its description in RNAcentral is "tRNA-Ile". It matches the Rfam family "tRNA". Rfam says of the family: Transfer RNA (tRNA) molecules are approximately 80 nucleotides in length. Their secondary structure includes four short double-helical elements and three loops (D, anti-codon, and T loops). Lineage: Duplodnaviria; Heunggongvirae; Uroviricota; Caudoviricetes. RNAcentral also lists the same sequence under 1 other name. The record is from RNAcentral.